This is a non-coding RNA of Peromyscus maniculatus bairdii (prairie deer mouse), 227 nucleotides long. The record is from RefSeq and is a predicted model, not a curated record. Lineage: Eukaryota; Metazoa; Chordata; Mammalia; Rodentia; Cricetidae.
GGCACCCCUCAAGCACACACCCAGGAGGGAUGCUGCGAUGAGUUGGUGGAGCCCAACAGGACCUCGUGAGACACAUGGACAGAGUGCAAACAGGCAUGGAAAACAGAGUUCUGGACCUCUCAGAGACAAACACUUGCCUAGAAGAUGGAUCUGUGUGUGAUAUAAAUCCCAGUGGUAGCCAUUUCAGCUUGGAUCUGGAAGUUCCAACCCCCAUUGAGACUCUGGCA